CGGGUCACGGCCCGGGACAGAGACUUGCGGGCGGAGGGACGGGUGUCGGUGUGGGGCGGGCAGGCGGCUCACGGCAUGGCGGGGGGGGCGGGGGCGGCAUAGGGCCAGACCGGGAGAGGGCAGGACUCCGGGGCCGGCGGGGACAGCGGGAGCCUUUCCGUGGCCGCGGCCCGCAAGGAAAGGGAGGCAGGAGCGGCGGGCGGGAUUUGUCUUCCUACGUGGAUAAACUGCCGCCCAAGUGCCAGCGCCGUACAGGAACCCGACGGGAACCCAUCCAGCUCUCCCCUUCAUGUGAACUGAAUUCCAGCCAUGAGACUUCCAGCUUCAUCUCCUCACCUUCGCUGGUCUUACUUAGGCUCUGACCCUGCAAAUAUUCAUACAUGGGGUUAAAAUUUAACGGGUGCCCCCCUGCUUCAGGCCCUACAGAUGGAUCUACCUGCUGGCACAGCCGCUGUGGCAAACGUGCCCUGUGGAUGGAAAUGAUAACAGGGAAAGAGUGGGGCUUGCCUGCAAGGCAUGCGAAAAAAUAAACUCUUUUUAUACUGA
Falco peregrinus (peregrine falcon) is the source of this 546-nucleotide long non-coding RNA. RefSeq lists it as uncharacterized. The transcript is spliced from 2 exons. The record is from RefSeq and is a predicted model, not a curated record. Lineage: Eukaryota; Metazoa; Chordata; Aves; Falconiformes; Falconidae.